This 224-nucleotide long non-coding RNA is filed under the name Mus pahari (shrew mouse). RNAcentral's name for it is "sRNA (MGP_PahariEiJ_G0008111.1)". It matches the Rfam family "Six3os1 conserved region 2". Lineage: Eukaryota; Metazoa; Chordata; Mammalia; Rodentia; Muridae. The record is from RNAcentral.
GUGAGGGGCUGGGCGAAAGGAAGGAGGGGAGGGGACUGGGGGGGGGGACGCGCGCCCCAGGAGCGAAAGCAAACUGCUAGCUGCAGAGGCGCUGCCGCAGUUCAGGCUUCCCAACAGGUUAGCUAGCCUAGGAUCCACCCGGUAUGUCGCAGGAGGUGGGGGGGCGUUGAGAGAGCUAGAGGAGGAGAAGCCUUCCUGGAGGACAGAGGGAGGGAGAGAAAGAG